This 508-nucleotide ribosomal RNA is filed under the name uncultured bacterium. RNAcentral describes it as "partial 16S ribosomal RNA". It matches the Rfam family "Bacterial small subunit ribosomal RNA", at positions 30 to 523 of the family's 1533-position model. The record is from RNAcentral.
AUUGAACGCUGGCGGCAUGCCUUACACAUGCAAGUCGAACGGCAGCGGGGGAGAAGCUUGCUUUUCCUGCCGGCGAGUGGCGAACGGGUGAGUAAUACAUCGGAACGUGCCCUGUAGUGGGGGAUAACUAGUCGAAAGAUUAGCUAAUACCGCAUACGACCUGAGGGUGAAAGUGGGGGACCGCAAGGCCUCAUGCUAUAGGAGCGGCCGAUGUCUGAUUAGCUAGUUGGUGGGGUAAAGGCCUACCAAGGCCACGAUCAGUAGCUGGUCUGGGAGGACGAUCAGCCAACCUGGGACUGAGACACGGCCCGGACUCCUACGGGGGGCAGCAGUGGGGAAUUUUGGACAAUGGGCGAAAGCCUGAUCCAGCAAUGCCGCGUGUGUGAAGAAGGCCUUCGGGUUGUAAAGCACUUUUGUCCGGAAAGAAAUGGCUCUGGUUAAUACCUGGGGUCGAUGACGGUACCGGAAGAAUAAGGACCGGCUAACUACGUGCCAGCCGCCGCGGUAA